GCUUCUUAAAUCUCCCUUGUGUAGAGAUUUCCUUGGCAGGCAACUCACAUCAUGGAGUUGUAACACAGACUAGCUGCAGCUAGAACAGCUGAGUGCAAACGAUGGAGGUACUGAGAGCUCAUUUGAGUUUCAAUGACACUGUUUAUACUGCUCAGAGAAAUGUGUUAAAAACACAAACCUCC
Molecule: long non-coding RNA, 182 nt
Organism: Etheostoma cragini (Arkansas darter)
Lineage: Eukaryota; Metazoa; Chordata; Actinopteri; Perciformes; Percidae
Exons: 3
Source: RefSeq, a predicted model, not a curated record